GUGUCAAGGGAUGGGAAUCGAACCCACGACCUUCCGCUUACCGGGCAGAUGCCAUGACCACUAUUUUUUUUAUGCUUA
This is a non-coding RNA of Cordylochernes scorpioides, 78 nucleotides long. NCBI's taxonomy places the organism in Eukaryota, Metazoa, Arthropoda, Arachnida, Pseudoscorpiones, Chernetidae. The record is from the annotation of a GenBank genome assembly.